RNAcentral lists this non-coding RNA (25 nucleotides) under Mus musculus (house mouse). Lineage: Eukaryota; Metazoa; Chordata; Mammalia; Rodentia; Muridae. The record is from RNAcentral.
UGACAGGAAUAAGUGGUGUUUGAAC